Molecule: long non-coding RNA, 921 nt
Organism: Fundulus heteroclitus (mummichog)
Lineage: Eukaryota; Metazoa; Chordata; Actinopteri; Cyprinodontiformes; Fundulidae
Exons: 3
Source: RefSeq, a predicted model, not a curated record
AAUUCAACUUUUCAAAAUUCAAAUGCAACAUUUUCGUUGUCCUCCAAUUCAACUUGCUCAAAUUCGCCGUCUCAAAUUCACCGUCUAAAAAUUCGCUGUCUCAAAUUCAGCGUCUAAAAAUUCGCUGUAAAAAUGGCCAAGGUUACUUCAGGUCACCUAAUCACGUGACACAACCGUCACAUUGAAGAAGUACCAGUAUCACCCAGGCUGGCGACCAUGGAGGCGAACUCAAACCCAACGGAACUUUUGCUGGAUCAUAUUUUUGAUAGGCUCCGUGAUCGUUUGGAGCAUGUUCUGGAACGGAUGCCCCUGGAUCUGGAUUUCCUAGACUUUAUCUGCACUCAAGAAUUAGCAUUUCAGGAUAUCUGAAACAGUUCAUUGCAAAUGCCACACCACCUGAACUGAAAGAGUUGAUGAAAUUCUGGACCGGUUGGGAAAAUCUUCCAUCAAGUCUGUCGGUGGAGAUUGUUCAUGGGAACUACCCAACAGCUGCCACAUGCUACGAAACACUAAAACUUCCCUGUCAUUACAAGAAUUACAAGUCAUUCAGUGAGGACUUCUUAGCAUGCAUUUCCUCUACACAAUCUGGAUUUGGCUUGAUCUGAGUGAUCGACUUGUUAAAAAAAAAAAAAAAAUCUACACUUAAGCUGUAGUAGUUCUUUGUGAAGCAGCUUUGUUUAAGCAGAACAGUUCUGUUGAAAUAUUUACUCAAUUCAGUUUUCUGAUUUUUGUCAGAUCACAAGUUCAAUACAUAUGUUUUAAUGUAAUAAUUUAAACUCAGAGUGACAACAUUGCUGUUACUCCACUUCCUGUAGUUAUGUCAAGUUCAAAUUCAAAUGUUCAGAGUAGAUAUUUAAUUUAAGUCUAAGUCAGUACUGUUUGUACAGGCAGUUUAAAUAUUAAAGUGAAAUUGUUUUUUAU